GAUGAACGCUGGCGGCGUGCCUAAUACAUGCAAGUCGAGCGAACAGAUAAGGAGCUUGCUCCUUUGACGUUAGCGGCGGACGGGUGAGUAACACGUGGGUAACCUACCUAUAAGACUGGAAUAACUCCGGGAAACCGGGGCUAAUGCCGGAUAACAUUUAGAACCGCAUGGUUCUAAAGUGAAAGAUGGUUUUGCUAUCACUUAUAGAUGGACCCGCGCCGUAUUAGCUAGUUGGUAAGGUAACGGCUUACCAAGGCAACGAUACGUAGCCGACCUGAGAGGGUGAUCGGCCACACUGGAACUGAGACACGGUCCAGACUCCUACGGGAGGCAGCAGUAGGGAAUCGUCCGCAAUGGGCGAAAGCCUGACGGAGCAACGCCGCGUGAGUGAUGAAGGUCGUCGGAUCGUAAAACUCUGUUAUUAGGGAAGAACAAAUGUGUAAGUAACUGUGCACGUCUUGACGGUACCUAAUCAGAAAGCCACGGCUAACUACG
This 495-nucleotide ribosomal RNA is filed under the name uncultured bacterium. RNAcentral's name for it is "partial 16S ribosomal RNA". It matches the Rfam family "Bacterial small subunit ribosomal RNA", at positions 28 to 505 of the family's 1533-position model. The record is from RNAcentral.